This is a long non-coding RNA of Ipomoea nil (Japanese morning glory), 373 nucleotides long. RefSeq lists it as uncharacterized. NCBI's taxonomy places the organism in Eukaryota, Viridiplantae, Streptophyta, Magnoliopsida, Solanales, Convolvulaceae. The transcript has 4 exons. The record is from RefSeq and is a predicted model, not a curated record.
GGAAGAUGGCAGACCAAACCAAGUACUUCCAUUCCCACUCCAUCUCUUAAAAGUUUUUACUUUUGAGGUUUUGCAAUUUCCAGACAUCUUGAUACAAUUGUUGUGAGCAGACUGGGGCCAUAUUCUCACAGUAAUGAAGAAACGGAUAUUCUAUGCAAGAAAAAAAGUUACCAUUCAAUAUUGGUGUACUACAUUUGCAGAGAUUGUGAGGUCACACUGCAUUCGAGGUCCCAGUCGAAGGCAUGGAGCAGUGAUGGCAGAAUGAAAUGACACAAAUCCUCCGGCCUGCACCAAAUGAGACUGUGAGGUCACAUUGCAUUCGAGCUCCCAGUCGAAGGCAUGGAGCAGCGAUCCCAGAAUGAAAUGCAUCAUC